AGCUACGGCAUCAGUAAUGAUGGGUAGGGGAGCUUCCCAUACGGGUUGAAGCAUGACCGUAAGGACAUGUGGACAGUAUGGGAGUGAGAAUGUUGGCAUGAGGAGCGAGAUGUGGGUGAGAAUCCCACAGGCCGUAAACCCAAGGUUUCCAGGGGAAGGUUCGUCCGCCCUGGGUUAGUCGGGACCUAAGCUGAGGCCGAAA
RNAcentral lists this ribosomal RNA (202 nucleotides) under Clostridioides difficile. RNAcentral's name for it is "partial 23S ribosomal RNA". It matches the Rfam family "Bacterial large subunit ribosomal RNA", at positions 1198 to 1407 of the family's 2925-position model. Lineage: Bacteria; Bacillati; Bacillota; Clostridia; Peptostreptococcales; Peptostreptococcaceae. The record is from RNAcentral.